GACGAAACGCUGGCGGCGUGGAUUAGGCAUGCAAGUCGAACGGUAUCAUCCUUUCGGGGGUGAGAGAGUGGCGAACUGGUGAGUAACACGUAGGUUAUCUACCCUCAAGACGGGGACAACCCAGGGAAACUUGGGCUAAUACCGGAUGUGAGCAACUUUUUAGUUGUUUGAAAGGUGGCGUAAGCUGUCGCUUGGGGAUGAGCCUGCGUCCUAUUAGUUAGUUGGUGAGGUAACGGCUCACCUAGGCAAUGAUAGGUAGGCGGCCUUAACGGGUGGUCGCCCACACUGGGAUUGAGAUACGGCCCAGACUCCUACGGGAGGCAGCAGUCGAGAAUAGUCUACAAUGGUCGGAAGACUGAUAGUGCGACGCCGCGUGAACGAUGAAUCCCUUCGGGGUGUAAAGUUCUUUUAUAUGUGAGCAGUGCUUCUUAUAUUAACAGUAUGGGGAAGAGAUAUUAGCAUAUGAAUAAGCAACGGCUAACUCCGUGCCAGCAGCCCGCGGUAAACU
This 508-nucleotide ribosomal RNA is filed under the name uncultured bacterium. Its description in RNAcentral is "bacterial SSU rRNA". It matches the Rfam family "Bacterial small subunit ribosomal RNA", at positions 32 to 526 of the family's 1533-position model. The record is from RNAcentral.